UACAUUUGGCUAACCAGAAUUGUCUCUGCUAAUGUGAAGAAACGAUACAUUUGGCUCACGGAAGUAUCAGCUAACGUGAAGAACCGAUACAUUUGGCGAAAGUAUCAGCUAGAAUUCUAACGUGAAGAACCGAUGGCAGCGACUGGAAUCCAUUAAUUUCCACGGAAUUAUUUUUGGAAUCUGAUCCCUUAUCAUUCCUGUUCAUUCUUACUCGUCGCUCGACUUAUCGUGACUAAAUUCAAGACAGCUGCAAACGCUAAACUUCUUGAAGAUACUGUCUGUAUAAAUCGUCUUAUUACCACACUGAAAACAACAUAUUUCUUAUCUCCUGAUUCACCUUGGGCCAACUCUUAGGUGUGCUCUCAGUCUCUGCCAAGGACAUUGUGGGUAGCCUACAUCUAGAAGACUACGUAGAGAGACGUAGACUCUGGCACUGAGAACAGACACCAGCUGAAGGGCAGGGACAGAGGCAUAGAGGCACAGCCGCACUAUCUACCCGCCGGAUUGUGUCUUGGGACCGUCAGAAUCUGGGCGCCUCGGCAUGGCAGGUCACUUCCUGUGGGACCAGUGGGAUGGGCUGGCGGAGAUGAUGCCGGCUUAAUCUGCAACCGUACGAAAAAAAGAUUCUCCCCAGACCAGACUCACACAUAAACAGUCAUACACAAAUAUACUGAUACAAACUCAGACACACACACACACAAAGACACACAAAUAAACACACACAAUACUCAGAAAGACUGUGUGGUGGUGGUUUGGUUGAAAGCACCUACACCCCCUCUGCAUCCUGUGGUUUACUAUGACACCACAGGAUAUCAGGAGCACGGGACCGUGUAUUCUAUACAUAUAGGAAAAGUGUUGCAUUUCUUUCUUUGGAAAAAUGUAAAGAUACAAAGGGAACUGACUAAACAUUGACAAAAAGUUCCCCUUGUAUCUUUACAUUUUUACAUUUUACCACUUAAUGGUCAGUAAAGCAUAAAUAAAAGAGGGAACUUUAUUAAAAAAAAAGCUUUGUGAUAUGAAUCAACUCUCAGACCUUUACAGA
This is a long non-coding RNA of Alosa alosa (allis shad), 1042 nucleotides long. RefSeq lists it as uncharacterized. The transcript is spliced from 3 exons. Lineage: Eukaryota; Metazoa; Chordata; Actinopteri; Clupeiformes; Clupeidae. The record is from RefSeq and is a predicted model, not a curated record.